AAGCUCUUAGAUUUGUUUAAUUUUAAAACCGUGUUUAGGAAAUUUGAAAAAAGGGAAAACAAAGAAGAAGAUAAAAAAAGUCUAAUUCGUAAAUAAAAGGCUUUGAAGGCUUCAAAUAUUCAUAUAGCCUUAAAACUCAUGUAAAAAUAAAAGGCUUUGAAGCUUCAAGUAUCAAUAAAUCUUCAAAUAUAUUGUUAGAUGAGAAUUACCUAGUAAGGUUUCAGAUUUUGGAAC
This 234-nucleotide long non-coding RNA is filed under the name Capsella rubella. RNAcentral's name for it is "long non-coding RNA (CRUB_LNC004898)". Lineage: Eukaryota; Viridiplantae; Streptophyta; Magnoliopsida; Brassicales; Brassicaceae. The record is from RNAcentral.